UGCCAGCAGCCGCGGUAAUGCGAAGGUCACAAGCGUUGUUCGGAAUUACUGGGCGUAAAGCGUACGUAGGCGGAUUAAUGAGUUAGAGGUGAAAUCCCAGGGCUCAACCCUGGAACUGCCUUUAAAACUGUUAGUCUUGAGAUCGAGAGAGGUGAGUGGAAUUCCAAGUGUAGAGGUGAAAUUCGUAGAUAUUUGGAGGAACACCAGUGGCGAAGGCGGCUCACUGGCUCGAUACUGACGCUGAGGUACGAAAGUGUGGGGAGCAAGCAGGAUUAGAUA
This 279-nucleotide ribosomal RNA is filed under the name uncultured bacterium. RNAcentral's name for it is "partial 16S ribosomal RNA". It matches the Rfam family "Bacterial small subunit ribosomal RNA", at positions 506 to 784 of the family's 1533-position model. The record is from RNAcentral.